UGAACGGAACGGAGUUCUUCUACUACUUCAUAGAGUCGGAAGGCAACCCCAGCGAGGACCCUCUGCUCCUCUGGCUCACUGGCGGCCCGAGGUGCUCCGCCUUCUGCGGUCUCGUCUUCGAAGUGGGUGAGUCUCGGUGGAGCUGCAAUGGAUGUUCCCCUUUUUAUCUUACAUUCCUUUCCUGUUCAUCGCAUAGCUUAUACACACUGAAACAAAGGGGAGACAUCCGCGAGAUGGAUUGCUCUUUCAUGGUGAUUUUUGUUGUUCACUCAUCGAUACAACUCCAAAAAUCUGAGCAUCGUUCUAUCGGUGGCCGUGAUUUUGACUUCGACUAGGGACAAAGGGGGACUUGAUAUGAGCCUAAGAUUAAUAAAGAGAGAUCUCAGACGUGCAUCACAAUUUUGUUCUGUUUCCUCAUUGCACCUGCUUGUGGGAAGAAAUAUGUGUGCUAAGUUCCUC
RNAcentral lists this long non-coding RNA (459 nucleotides) under Musa acuminata (dwarf banana). RNAcentral's name for it is "long non-coding RNA (MACU_LNC001690)". The record is from RNAcentral. Lineage: Eukaryota; Viridiplantae; Streptophyta; Magnoliopsida; Zingiberales; Musaceae.